AGUCUGGAGAACUUUCUGGACUCGCCACAGCAGCUGGAAUCUCCGAUCCUCCCACC
This 56-nucleotide non-coding RNA is filed under the name Alexandrium minutum. Lineage: Eukaryota; Dinophyceae; Gonyaulacales; Pyrocystaceae. The record is from RNAcentral.